ACAAUAGGUUGCGAAGCCGCGAGGUGGAGCCGAAUCCAGCAAAACUUCCCUCAGUUCAGAUUGCAGGCUGCAACUCGCCUGCAUGAAGUUGGAGUUGCUAGUAAACGCAGGUCAGCCAUACUGCGUUGAAUACGUUCCCGGGCUU
This 145-nucleotide ribosomal RNA is filed under the name uncultured Anaerolineaceae bacterium. RNAcentral's name for it is "partial 16S ribosomal RNA". It matches the Rfam family "Bacterial small subunit ribosomal RNA", at positions 1239 to 1381 of the family's 1533-position model. Lineage: Bacteria; Bacillati; Chloroflexota; Anaerolineae; Anaerolineales; Anaerolineaceae. The record is from RNAcentral.